RNAcentral lists this ribosomal RNA (492 nucleotides) under uncultured bacterium. Its description in RNAcentral is "partial 16S ribosomal RNA". It matches the Rfam family "Bacterial small subunit ribosomal RNA", at positions 29 to 507 of the family's 1533-position model. The record is from RNAcentral.
AGUGAACGCUGGCGGUAGGCCUAACACAUGCAAGUCGAACGGCAGCACAGUAAGAGCUUGCUCUUACGGGUGGCGAGUGGCGGACGGGUGAGGAAUACAUCGGAAUCUACUUUUUCGUGGGGGAUAACGUAGGGAAACUUACGCUAAUACCGCAUACGACCUACGGGUGAAAGCAGGGGAUCUUCGGACCUUGCGCGAUUGAAUGAGCCGAUGUCGGAUUAGCUAGUUGGCGGGGUAAAGGCCCACCAAGGCGACGAUCCGUAGCUGGUCUGAGAGGAUGAUCAGCCACACUGGAACUGAGACACGGUCCAGACUCCUACGGGAGGCACCAGUGGGGAAUAUUGGACAAUGGGCGCAAGCCUGAUCCAGCCAUACCGCGUGGGUGAAGAAGGCCUUCGGGUUGUAAAGCCCUUUUGUUGGGAAAGAAAAGCAGCAGAUUAAUACCCCGCUGUUCUGACGGUACCCAAAGAAUAAGCACCGGCUAACUUCGUG